Molecule: ribosomal RNA, 421 nt
Filed under: uncultured bacterium
Lineage: Bacteria
Description: partial 16S ribosomal RNA
Rfam family: Bacterial small subunit ribosomal RNA
Source: RNAcentral
UGGGGAAUUUUGGACAAUGGGCGAAAGCCUGAUCCAGCAAUGCCGCGUGUGUGAAGAAGGCCUUCGGGUUGUAAAGCACUUUUGUCCGGAAAGAAAUCCUUGGCUCUAAUACAGUCGGGGGAUGACGGUACCGGAAGAAUAAGCACCGGCUAACUACGUGCCAGCAGCCGCGGUAAUACGUAGGGUGCAAGCGUUAAUCGGAAUUACUGGGCGUAAAGCGUGCGCAGGCGGUUUGCUAAGACCGAUGUGAAAUCCCCGGGCUCAACCUGGGAACUGCAUUGGUGACUGGCAGGCUAGAGUAUGGCAGAGGGGGGUAGAAUUCCACGUGUAGCAGUGAAAUGCGUAGAGAUGUGGAGGAAUACCGAUGGCGAAGGCAGCCCCCUGGGCCAAUACUGACGCUCAUGCACGAAAGCGUGGGGAG